CCCAUUGAAAUUGCGCCUGCGCUCGCCUACUUUAGGUCUGUCCCUCGGGACUAUGAACAUAAACGCGCACGUAAUAACCGGAUUGGACCAGGGGGCGGUACCCUGCGCCUCCACCAUCAUCUCUCAUUUGGGGACUUUGGGGGCGAAAUAGGAUCGACAAACGUCUAAAGGUGUUUGCUUUGUUUCGGUGAGUUACCACCGUUAUCGGUACAUCAAAGCUAGUUGCAAAUGACAACAAAGCUCCGAUGGCUCUCGCAGCGUAAGCUGUGCGAAACGUCGAAAAUUAAGCCCUUGCGCCUAGCAGCGUAAGGCGGGGUUCGCAGGCACCUGGCAACAGAAGCCUGCACU
This 348-nucleotide transfer-messenger RNA is filed under the name Octadecabacter sp. SW4. Its description in RNAcentral is "Alphaproteobacteria transfer-messenger RNA". It matches the Rfam family "Alphaproteobacteria transfer-messenger RNA". Rfam says of the family: Bacterial tmRNA, also known as 10Sa RNA or SsrA, is named for its dual tRNA and mRNA-like properties. The record is from Rfam by way of RNAcentral. Lineage: Bacteria; Pseudomonadati; Pseudomonadota; Alphaproteobacteria; Rhodobacterales; Roseobacteraceae.